This 652-nucleotide ribosomal RNA is filed under the name Confertobasidium sp. UC2022936. RNAcentral describes it as "eukaryotic LSU rRNA". The stretch from base 253 to 406 matches the Rfam family "5.8S ribosomal RNA". The record is from RNAcentral. Lineage: Eukaryota; Fungi; Basidiomycota; Agaricomycetes; Russulales.
UCUUGGUCAUUUAGAGGAAGUAAAAGUCGUAACAAGGUUUCCGUAGGUGAACCUGCGGAAGGAUCAUUAAUGAAUGCAAAGCGCGUGGCGUCGUCUGUCGCUGGCCCUCUUGGGGGCAUGUGCACGGCUGCGUUGCGUCUUUCCACUACACCUCUGUGCACCUUUGCGUGGGCCCCCUUCACCGGGAGCUUGCGUCUUUCAUAUACUAUUGCACGGUCUCAGAAUGGCACUUGCGUAAAACGCAACUAUUACAACUUUCAGCAACGGAUCUCUUGGCUCUCGCAUCGAUGAAGAACGCAGCGAAAUGCGAUAAGUAAUGUGAAUUGCAGAAUUCAGUGAAUCAUCGAAUCUUUGAACGCACCUUGCACCCUUUGGUAUUCCGAAGGGUACACCUGUUUGAGUGUCGUGAAUUCCUCCCCUGUUCGCCUUUGCGGGUUUGAACGGCGGGGACUUUGGGGGUUUGCAGGUCCUUUGGAUCGGCUCCCCUUGAAUGCAUUAGCGAACGCCGUAACGCGGCCUUGGUGUGAUAGUCAUCUACGCCUUGGUUCAGUGUGGAAAGGCCCGCUUCGAACCGUCUCUUUGCUGAGACAACUUUCAUUGAACUUGACCUCAGAUCAGGUGGGACUACCCGCUGAACUUAAGCAUAUCAAAA